Molecule: long non-coding RNA, 1257 nt
Organism: Oncorhynchus tshawytscha (Chinook salmon)
Lineage: Eukaryota; Metazoa; Chordata; Actinopteri; Salmoniformes; Salmonidae
Source: Ensembl
CGACCCUCUGACUACCACUACCUCUGACUACCACUACCCUUUACCACGACCCUCUCAUUACCACUACUUGCUGACUACCACUACUUGCUGACUACCACGACCCUCUGACUACCACUACCUCUGUACUAGUUUAACCCGUUAGUCAGAGUGCUGUACUAGUUUAACCCGUUAGUCAGAGUGCUGUACUAGUUUAACUAGUUUAAGUGAUAUCACCCGUUAGUCAGAGUGAUCUACCCGUUAGUCAGAGUGCUGUACUAGUUUAACUAGUUUAAGUGAUAUCACCCGUUAGUGAGAGUGCUGUGCUAGUUUUACUAGUUUAAAUGAUAUCACUGGUUAGUCAGAGUGCUGUACUAGUUAAACUAGUAUCACCCGUUAGUCAGAGUGCUGUACUAGUUUAACCCGUUAUUAGUAGUGCUAGUGCUGUACUAGUUUAACUAGUUUAACCCGUUAGUCAGUGCUGUACUAGUUUAACCCGUUAGUCAGAGUGCUGUACUAUGCUGUAUAGUUUAACCCGUUAGUCAGAGUGCUGUACUAGUUAAACUAGUAUCACCCGUUAGUCAGAGUGCUGUACUAGUUUAACCCGUUAGUCAGAGUGCUGUACUAGUUUAACUAGUUUAACUGGUAUCACCCGUUAGUCAGAGUGCUGUACUAGUUUAACUAGUUUAACUAGUAUCACCCGUUAGUCAGUGAUCUACCCGUUAGUCAGAGUGCUGUACUAGUUUAACUAGUUUAACUGGUAUCACCCGUUAGUCAGAGUGCUGUACUAGUUUAACUAGUUUAACUAGUAUCACCCGUUAGUCAGUGAUCACCCGUUAGUCAGAGUGCUGUACUAGUUUAACUAGUUUAACUGGUAUCACCCGUUAGUCAGAGUGCUGUACUAGUUUAACUAGUUUAACUAGUAUCACCCGUUAGUCAGUGAUCUACCCGUUAGUCAGAGUGCUGUACUAAUUUAAGUGAUGGUUGGUCGUAGUUCUCCAACCUGUAAACUGUAAAGGGAACAGAUCACAUGUUAAUGGUUGAAUAUUUACCCAUGUGGUCAUUUGGUCUGUUCGGUCAUCAGUUUGGAAGCCUUUCUUUCGGCCUCUGGAAGUAACGUGUGAUAUGAAAUACGUAGUUUUCAAACAAUAUGCCGUAAUAUAGAAAUACCUAACAGCCAAUCUGCUUGCUCCUAUCCCUUGACAUGUUCUUCCUGUCAGAUGGAUUAUAGAAGCUGUACUGUAUUGCUGCCAUUAAGUUACUGUACAUUUUACAGGAAAU